Molecule: unclassified non-coding RNA, 88 nt
Filed under: Pseudomonas antarctica
Lineage: Bacteria; Pseudomonadati; Pseudomonadota; Gammaproteobacteria; Pseudomonadales; Pseudomonadaceae
Source: RNAcentral
AUACAAGCUGGCUUGCCUGCGAUGGCGGUGCAUCAGUCAACUUAUUGAGUCACUGAUAGACCGCCAUCGCAGGUAAGCCAGCUCCCAC